GAUGAAGAACGUAGCAAAAUGCGAUAAGUAAUGUGAAUUGCAGAAUUCAGUGAAUCAUCGAAUCUUUGAACGCACAUUGCGCCCGCCAGUAUUCUGGCGGGCAUGCCUGUUCGAGCGUCAUUUCAACCCUCAAGCACAGCUUGGUGUUGGGACUCGCGUUAAUUCGCGUUCCUCAAAUUGAUUGGCGGUCACGUCGAGCUUCCAUAGUGUAGUAGUAAAACCCUCGUUACUGGUAAUCGUCGCGGCCACGCCGUUAAACCCCAACUUCUGAAUGUUGACCUCGGAUCAGGUAGGAAUACCCGCUGAACUUAAGCAUAUCAAUAAGCGGAGGA
RNAcentral lists this unclassified non-coding RNA (332 nucleotides) under soil metagenome. RNAcentral describes it as "partial contains 5.8S ribosomal RNA, internal transcribed spacer 2, and large subunit ribosomal RNA". The stretch from base 1 to 120 matches the Rfam family "5.8S ribosomal RNA", at positions 35 to 154 of the family's 154-position model. The record is from RNAcentral.